Molecule: ribosomal RNA, 495 nt
Filed under: uncultured bacterium
Lineage: Bacteria
Description: partial 16S ribosomal RNA
Rfam family: Bacterial small subunit ribosomal RNA
Source: RNAcentral
GAUGAACGCUGGCGGCGUGCCUAAUACAUGCAAGUCGAACGCUGAAGGAGGAGCUUGCUCUUCUGGAUGAGUUGCGAACGGGUGAGUAACGCGUAGGUAACCUGCCUGGUAGCGGGGGAUAACUAUUGGAAACGAUAGCUAAUACCGCAUGACAACAGUUAUUGCAUGAUAACUGUUUAAAAGGGGCAACUGCUCCACUACCAGAUGGACCUGCGUUGUAUUAGCUAGUUGGUGAGGUAACGGCUCACCAAGGCGACGAUACAUAGCCGACCUGAGAGGGGGAUCGGCCACACUGGGACUGAGACACGGCCCAGACGCCUACGGGAGGCAGCAGUAGGGAAUCUUCGGCAAUGGACGGAAGUCUGACCGAGCAACGCCGCGGGAGUGAAGAAGGUUUUCGGAUCGUAAAGCUCUGUUGUAAGAGAAGAACGAGUGUGAGAGUGGAAAGUUCACACUGUGACGGUAGCUUACCAGAAAGGGACGGCUAACUACGUG